RNAcentral lists this ribosomal RNA (484 nucleotides) under uncultured bacterium. RNAcentral describes it as "partial 16S ribosomal RNA". It matches the Rfam family "Bacterial small subunit ribosomal RNA", at positions 30 to 507 of the family's 1533-position model. The record is from RNAcentral.
AUUGAACGCUGGCGGCAGGCCUAACACAUGCAAGUCGAGCGGAUGAAGGGAGCUUGCUCCUGGAUUCAGCGGCGGACGGGUGAGUAAUGCCUAGGAAUCUGCCUGGUAGUGGGGGCUAACGUCCGGAAACGGGCGCUAAUACCGCAUACGUCCUGAGGGAGAAAGUGGGGGAUCUUCGGACCUCACGCUAUCAGAUGAGCCUAGGUCGGAUUAGCUAGUUGGUGAGGUAAAGGCCUACCAAGGCGACGAUCCGUAACUGGUCUGAGAGGAUGAUCAGUCACACUGGAACUGAGACACGGUCCAGACUCCUACGGGAGGCAGCAGUGGGGAAUAUUGGACAAUGGGCGAAAGCCUGAUCCAGCCAUGCCGCGUGUGUGAAGAAGGUCUUCGGAUUGUAAAGCUCUGUAAGUUGGGAGGAAGGGCAGUAAGUUAAUACCUUGCUGUUUUGACGUUACCAACAGAAUAAGCACCGGCUAACUUCGUG